RNAcentral lists this ribosomal RNA (253 nucleotides) under uncultured bacterium. RNAcentral describes it as "partial 16S ribosomal RNA". It matches the Rfam family "Bacterial small subunit ribosomal RNA", at positions 524 to 776 of the family's 1533-position model. The record is from RNAcentral.
AACGUAGGACGCAAGCGUUAUCCGGAGUUACUGGGCGUAAAGCGCGCGCAGGCGGUCUUGCCAGUCUGAUGUGAAAUCUCCUCGCUCAACGGGGAGCAGCCAUUGGAAACUACAAGACUGGAGUCUGACAGAGGUAGGCGGAAUUCCGGGUGGAGUGGUGAAAUGCGUAGAGAUCCGGAGGAACACCAGAGGCGAAGGCGGCCUACUGGGUCAGUACUGACGCUGAGCCGCGAAAGCCAGGGGAGCGAACGGG